AUAAAUUAAUCCAUUAAUUUGAAAUUAGUUGGUCGAGAUUUAAGUGUAGAGAUUGCAAUGAUAAUGAUAUGCUUCUCCCAUAUGAAGGAAAAGAUGAGGAUUUUUGAUUUAGUGAUACAAAAUAACAAUCCUAUAGCAAUUAAUAAAGGCCAAUUUAUCGUCCUGUCAGCUCAGCACUAAGAUAAUAAUGUAGGACUUUGUUUCCUGACAAAUAGUCAAAAGAGGUUUCCUUUUCCACUAUAGAUUCUUUUUGUAAUCAAUACAUGCUCUUAUUUUUUAACCCGACUGGCAUUACAGUAAACAGUUACUUCUUUCAAUUGGUUUUUAUAUGCAGGUUUUUACAGAACCUCACUUGAAAACAAAGGUUUGGGGUUUUUUUUUGUUUUGGGGUUUUUUUCUUCAAUAGAGAGGAGAACGUGUUCCAUUAAGAAUCACUUUGAUUCUUGUUGAAAUCUUAAUGUUAUUUCAAAGACUUACCACGUUUCAUCAGGAAAAAGAAAAAACAAAGCAAUACAUUUGGACAAGUGGGGGGAUCAGGUAAUGGUAUAAUACUAUGCCUAUUUUAAAACAGAGGUUUGAAAACGGUCCGGGUUCAAAGUUUCCCUUUUCUAAUAGCAUUGGCUAUUUGUAAAGAUGAUCACUUUUUUUUUUGUUUUUGUUCUUGUUGCACAGCCUGUGUAUCAGAAAAGCUUCUUUCAGAAAUGGUAUCAUGGAAGGAAAAGCCAGAAAGUGUAUUGCUUUAGGCACCUGUGAUACCUAAUGAAGAGCCUGCUCAGCCUAACUUCCUGGAGCCAACAGAGAGAAAUAAUUCCAGAGACCAAAGCAUUCCACCUACAAUCUGAGUGUAUAUAUGCAGACGAAAUUCUGGUUGCAUCAGGCAAUUAUAAGGAAUAGCACAAAGGUUGCUCUUACCUUGUUGCCAUGCCCCUGGACUUCAACAAAGAAUUACAGUCGAGAAGUGAGAGGCUGUACUAAAUCCUUCUGCAGUUUUCCCACAGCUGCUAAUGUUGGGAACUGCCUGCAAAACAUCUCCGGACACCUAAUGCUGUGAAGGUGAACCCAUUCACAAAAACUCUGUAACAGACACUGAAACUUUCGUAAAAAUGAUAUCUAUGGUAAUCUAUUACCUUCCGUAACUUGUUACAUAUUGAGGAUUUCUCAAGAUGGCAGGGACAGACAACUCCAUCUGAUAAUACCAUCUGGUAAUAACUCCAUCUGAUUGUGAAAAAAAGUCACAGAAGAGGAAGCUACACAAUCUUUUACCAGGUAAUGGCCA
RNAcentral lists this long non-coding RNA (1276 nucleotides) under Struthio camelus australis. RNAcentral describes it as "lncRNA (ENSSCUG00000018766.1)". The record is from RNAcentral. Lineage: Eukaryota; Metazoa; Chordata; Aves; Struthioniformes; Struthionidae.